UUCUCCUCCGCCAAUCCCUUCUCCGAGACCACAAAUCCCAGAAGUCACCGCGGCCGCCCCCACCGCAUGACCUUCUGGGAUUUGUAGUAAUCAGGGCCACGCGGCUGGGCGCGCCCUCUAACAGCAGCACCGAAUGACCGCAGCGCAGGAGCGCGGGAAAAUGAGGCUGCGCGGGGUGAGGAGCGCACCAGGAGGAGCCGCCCCAGCUGUACCGCGCAGCGUCGCGUCCAGUCAGUGGGGAAUAAGGUCUUGGAGUUAGGUCAACAGGAGAAGAGUCAAGUGAGGUCACAGAUGAGGAAUGGCCUUUAUUGGUUGCAAUGGGAAGCAAAAGAGGAGACCUGAAAUCAAAUGAGAAAGCGUAAGCAUCCUCAGGAGCAGCCCACUGGAUCUCAGUUCUGCCCUGCUCAGAGAAGUUCAGUAUCCAGGCAACUGAGGACAGAACCGGCUGGCACCAAAGUCAUGAUGUUGAGGGGGCCAGAGCCCCUUUCCCUCUGCCUCCAUACAUAACAGGGAGCAGGACCACACAGUCAGUCCCUGACAAGAAAAGGAGGGUGGAUUUUCUGAAAUAUGAUAUUCACCAUUAAAAUUAACAAGUUAACAAAAGUAA
Long non-coding RNA from Macaca mulatta (Rhesus monkey), 607 nucleotides. RefSeq lists it as uncharacterized. Lineage: Eukaryota; Metazoa; Chordata; Mammalia; Primates; Cercopithecidae. The record is from RefSeq and is a predicted model, not a curated record.